Molecule: long non-coding RNA, 1469 nt
Filed under: Homo sapiens (human)
Lineage: Eukaryota; Metazoa; Chordata; Mammalia; Primates; Hominidae
Description: long non-coding RNA NONHSAT191009.1
Source: RNAcentral
CCGGGGCACCUGUCUAAAAACACCCCGCCUCCGAACGCGCGCUCUUGCGGAAUUCUCCCGAACCGCAGAGCCCUCGUGGCUGGGACCGCAUAGCAACCGGGGGCAGAGUGCGAGCCCCCAGCGGUGUGCUGGGAUGGAAAAGCAGGAGCCGCUGAGGAUGGACUACGGGGCGUGUUCCCGAAAAGCCGGGAAGAGAUGUGGCGGGGCUGCCGCGGGCGUCUCUAAGGCCGGCACGGGUGGCGUCUUGACUCCCUGCCCCUCCAGCCGCGGACCUCGGACGGGGGGAAGGGGGCUCCUCCAAGCGGGGAGACGGUCGCCGGCCGAGCAGCAGGGCUCCUGGCCGGCGGAGGGUGCUAUGCUCUGCGGGACCGCCGGGAAGUCCCAGACAAGGGGGUCUGGGGGGGUCUCUCUGGAGAGUGGCUAUAAAUGCUAGCCUUUGUGCUGGGCAGCAAAGCAAAUCAUCGGGAAUAACCCGGGAGCCUGGCAGGGAAACCGCUGCACUAUGGAGAGGACGCUUCCAGAUACAGAGGACAAAUCAAGUGAAGGGACGGAACAGGUCACACCCAGAGCGGCACAGAGGGGCUCUCUCCGGUCCCCAGUGCAUGGGCUGGAGUGUGGCCCCUGGCAGAGCCCUGGAGGCCGGCUCUGCUUCCUGCCCCCUUCCAGCCUGGAGCAGCCCGAGGGCGCAGCAUUCCUGGGGCAGGCCUGAGCCCUGUGGUGGGCUGAGUUGAGUCCCCAGAAAGGAUCUAUGAAAGAUAAAAUGUGGUGUGAGGACACGGCCCAGCCCCACCGUCGUCUUCCAGCCCCACCAUCGUCUUCCAGCCCCACCGUCGUCUUCCAGUCCCACCGUCGUCUUCUAGCCCCACCAUCGUCGUCUUGGACUCUCUGGGUGGCACCACGCUGUGGGUGCUGCUCUCCUCUGUGUCCCAAACGAGUUUGUGCCUCACUUUGUCGGGUUUUGGCUGUGACUUGGAGCCUCACCAAGCUCCCUUUUCCUCUGUCUCCCAUUCUCCUCUCCAGGCCAGGGUGGCUUCCCCAGCCCUCCUCCCCGGGUCCUGCCUGUGCCGAGCCUUCCUCCCAGGAGGGAGGUGAUACUGACUUGAGAUCUUAUGGGUGUUUUGUUUGUGGCUGGGCCUGGCCGACCCUCUCUCCACGGCCUUAGAUCACACUCUGGAUGGAUAGGACAGUCGUCCUCAAUACUGAGCCUCUUUGGAGCAUACCCACUGAUGGUGGUUCACAAGCUACCCACGCCCACAGGCUGACCCAGAUCUCCGUGAAAUUAAAAAAUACUGUGAAAGGAAAAAGAGCCAAUGUCAUGUGGAUAAUGAAGUGUCAGCCACUGAAAAAUCUCAAAAUAAUAAACUUGACGACUCUGCUUUCUCUUGGUCCGUGAUGGAAGAGGAAGCCCGAACGCACGCCUCUAUCAGCAACUCUGCAGCACCGCACUUGCCACUCGGAGAAAAUGCUUU